UGGUGGAGUGAUUUGUCAGGUUAAUUCCGUUAACGAACGAGAUCUCGGCUUGCUAACUAGUGCGUACGAUCACCUGUAUGGGUGAAGCGGUGGAGGUUGGGUUUGGCUUCGGCUGAGCUCACCGCUGCCGUGGAUCCCUGGCUGAUUGUUGGUCACUUCUUAGAGGGACAACUCGCGUCUAGCGAGGGGAAGUUCGAGGCAAUAACA
This 207-nucleotide ribosomal RNA is filed under the name uncultured eukaryote. Its description in RNAcentral is "partial 18S ribosomal RNA". It matches the Rfam family "Eukaryotic small subunit ribosomal RNA", at positions 1299 to 1458 of the family's 1831-position model. The record is from RNAcentral.